AGAGAGAGAGAGAGAGAGAGAGAGAGAGAGAGAGAGAGAGAGAGAGAGAGAGAGAGAGAGAGAGAGAGAGAGAGAGAGAGAGAGAGAGGCAAAGAGAGAGAGAGAGAGAGAGGCAGGCAAAGAGAGAGAGAGAGAGAGGCAGGCAAAGAGAGAGAGAGAGAGAGGCAGGCAAAGAGAGAGAGAGAGAGAGAGAGGCAGGCAAAGAGAGAGAGAGCCGCAGGGAGAAAGAGGCAGAGAGAGAGAGAAAAACAGAGAAAGAAAGGCAGAGAGAGAAAAAGAGGCAGAGAAAGAGAGGCAGAGAGAGAGAGAGAGGCAGAGAGAGAGAGAGGCAGAGAGAGUGAGAGAGGCAGAGAAAGUGAGGCAGAGAGAAAGUGAGGCAGAGAGAGAGAGAAGAAGAGACAAAGAGAAGCAGAUAGAGAGGCAGAGAGAGAGAGAGGCAGAGAGAGAGGCAGAGAGAGAGAGAGGCAGCGAGAGAGAGAGGCACAGAGAGAGAGAGAGGCAGAGAGAGAGGCAGAGAGAGAGGCAGAGAGAAAGAGAGGCAGAGAGAAAGAGAGGCAGAGAGAAAGAGAGGCAGAGAAAGGGAGAGAGAGGCAGAGAGAGAGAGAGAGAGUGAGAGAGGCAGAGAGAGAGAAGCAGAGAGAGAGA
Molecule: long non-coding RNA, 645 nt
Organism: Oncorhynchus tshawytscha (Chinook salmon)
Lineage: Eukaryota; Metazoa; Chordata; Actinopteri; Salmoniformes; Salmonidae
Source: Ensembl